Molecule: ribosomal RNA, 19 nt
Filed under: Pongamia pinnata (Indian beech tree)
Lineage: Eukaryota; Viridiplantae; Streptophyta; Magnoliopsida; Fabales; Fabaceae
Also listed under: 1 other name
Description: partial large subunit ribosomal RNA
Source: RNAcentral
GAGACCUCAGGUCAGACGG